UCUUUUCCUUAUUCCCCUACACCCGUCGGUUCCAAGGCACACACGAGAGAAAACUUCUCAAGUCUCCUUCCUUCACACGAGAGGCUCUUGGUUCCUCUAGUUCGCGCGUCCUCUCCCUUUUCUUCAAGUCAUCUCUCUCAUUUCUUAAACCUAACAUCUCCACCGAAAAUCUCCAAGGAAGUCAACCUCGUAUGAAUGAUGAGGCUGUGGAGCUAGGCAUUGCUGAGGAGGGAGGGGCCGAUGCUUAGAGUUCCCUGUCGGUUCGGUUUUGAUGAUAAUGGUUAUGUUUUUAUGCCUUUAUGAUGGGUCCCGUGUUGGGAUGUUUUGUUGGCUUGACUUUAAGACAAUAUGUCUUCGGGCAUGAUGUAAAUAUUAUGGUGGGGUGAUGGUAAUGGCGUAACUUCUAUGAUGGGGUGAUGGUAACCCCACAUAAGAUGGUUAAAUGCCUUUUUGGUAUGUGUUGAAGGGACUAAGUCCCCUCUUAUUAAGGACUGGUUAUGUUUGGUGCAUGGAUGAUAGACUCUGAGAGUCCUUUACUUAGAAUAUUGAACAGGUCGUCUAUCAGGUGUUUCUUUUAA
Long non-coding RNA from Juglans microcarpa x Juglans regia, 578 nucleotides. RefSeq lists it as uncharacterized. NCBI's taxonomy places the organism in Eukaryota, Viridiplantae, Streptophyta, Magnoliopsida, Fagales, Juglandaceae. The record is from RefSeq and is a predicted model, not a curated record. The transcript has 2 exons.